AAAUGUCCUCAGACUGGUGUGAGCACUGAGGAUGGAGAGACACAGCAGAUCCUGGAAAUGGUGUAGAGCCAUGGAUGAUCAUGGAUUUGAUACUUUGCUUUCAGACACCGGUUCACGAGUGACGUUCCCCAUAUGCGGGACGAUCCCCAUGGAGUAACCUGGAGUAAAGUGUCUUGCUCAAGGACACACUGGUGGAGACGCUGCGGAGAUCAAACCAGCAACCUUCUGUUUACUAAUUCAGUGGUUCAGCCCACUACACCACAAAAUCUUGCUCAUGGAGAGCACAUGAAUGUUUGGAGCAGACACAGCAGCAGCCAGAUUGUCCCGCACAUCUUCUCCCACUCUUGCUUCAAGGUUGUGGGGUUCAGGGGUCCAUCAUCAUCAUCUUCCUCAUCCUCUGGAUCAACAAUGUCCCCACUGAGAAGAGCAGCAGCGAGGGACAUGAUGGAUGGCAAAGACAGGUGAAGGUGUUCACGGUGGUCAGCUGCAGAAUGGGCACAGCUGUGUUGAGAUGGCAGUAGGAUGUAGGGUUCACCACCUGUAAAUACAUGAUUGUUAGAAAAAUAUGUUUGAAUAAAGCUCUGUUUCAUGUGUUGUUGACUUGUAUAUGUGUUUAUUUAUUGUGACUGUUGCUUUUAUUAAUUCUUUUAC
Ctenopharyngodon idella (grass carp) is the source of this 651-nucleotide long non-coding RNA. RefSeq lists it as uncharacterized. The transcript is spliced from 3 exons. NCBI's taxonomy places the organism in Eukaryota, Metazoa, Chordata, Actinopteri, Cypriniformes, Xenocyprididae. The record is from RefSeq and is a predicted model, not a curated record.